Peromyscus eremicus (cactus mouse) is the source of this 996-nucleotide non-coding RNA. Lineage: Eukaryota; Metazoa; Chordata; Mammalia; Rodentia; Cricetidae. The record is from the annotation of a RefSeq genome assembly.
AUGAAGAACUCUGGCUCACAAGUCCGCCUUGCUUUACAUCUUCCCUGGGAAGCCGGCCUGGCAGAUGGGAAUCCAUUCCUGAAAGUAGUCGUUUUCUCAUGUCUCUUGACUUUUGGACUUGGGAAGUUGGAGCAACCGGAAAUAUCAAUUUCCAGAACAACAGAUGAGAGUGUCCAAAUAUCCUGUAAGGCUUCCAUCAACAGCUUUAAAAGUGUAGCCAUACACUGGUACCGGCAGAAACCAAAUCAAGGUUUAGAGUUUCUAUUAUAUGUCAUCGCAACUCCUACUCAUAUUCUCUUAAAUGACAAGCACAAGAAAAUGGAGGCAAGUAAAAAUUCUAGUGCUUCCACAUCAACAUUGACAAUAUAUUCCUUGGAGGAAGAUGAUGAAGCUAUCUACUACUGUUCCUAUGGCUAUAGCUCAGGCUGGAGCAAGAUAUUUGCAGAAGGAACUAAGCUCAUAGUAAUCCCUUCUGACAAAAACCUUGAUGCAGACAUUUCCCCCAAGCCUACCAUUUUCCUUCCUUCUGUUGCUGAAACAAAUCUCCAUAAAGCUGGGACAUACCUUUGUCUCCUUGAAAAAUUCUUCCCUGACAUUAUAAGGGUAUACUGGAAAGAAAAGGAUGGUGAUAAGAUCCUGGAGUCCCAGGAAGGGAAUACACUGAAGACGAACGACACGUACAUGAAAUUUAGCUGGCUGACUGUGACUGAAAAGUCAAUGUAUAAAGAGCACAGAUGUAUUGUCAAACAUGAGAACAACAAAAAAGGAGUUGACCAAGAGAUUUCCUUUCCUCCAAUAAAGAAAGUUGCCGUAAGUACUGAGCCUACAACUUGCUCGCAUCAAAAUGAUGUGCCUGCGCUGCAGCUUCAGUUUACGAGCACUUCUGCGUACUACACCUACCUCCUCCUGCUCCUCAAGAGUGUGAUCUACUUGGCCAUGGUCAGCUUCUUUCUGUUUAGAAGAGCAGCCCUCUGUGGUAAUAAGAAGAAGUCCUAA